GAGAGCCAAAUGAAUAGAAAGAUUCAUGUUUGGUUCGGGAAAACUCUACUUAUUAUUAAUAUGUAACUAAUAAAAAAUUACAAAUUUUAA
Glycine max (soybean) is the source of this 90-nucleotide non-coding RNA. The record is from Rfam. NCBI's taxonomy places the organism in Eukaryota, Viridiplantae, Streptophyta, Magnoliopsida, Fabales, Fabaceae.